GACGAACGCUGGCGGCGUGCCUAAUACAUGCAAGUAGAACGCUGAAGGAGGAGCUUGCCUCUCUGGAUGAGUUGCGAACGGGUGAGUAACGCGUAGGUAACCUGCCUGGUAGCGGGGGAUAACUAUUGGAAACGAUAGCUAAUACCGCAUAACAGUAGAUAUCGCAUGAUAUCUACUUGAAAGGUGCAAUUGCAUCACUACCAGAUGGACCUGCGUUGUAUUAGCUAGUUGGUGAGGUAACGGCUCACCAAGGCGACGAUACAUAGCCGACCUGAGAGGGUGAUCGGCCACACUGGGACUGAGACACGGCCCAGACUCCUACGGGAGGCAGCAGUAGGGAAUCUUCGGCAAUGGACGGAAGUCUGACCGAGCAACGCCGCGUGAGUGAAGAAGGUUUUCGGAUCGUAAAGCUCUGUUGUAAGAGAAGAACGAGUGUGAGAGUGGAAAGUUCACACUGUGACGGUAUCUUACCAGAAAGGGACGGCUAACUACGUG
This 495-nucleotide ribosomal RNA is filed under the name uncultured bacterium. RNAcentral's name for it is "partial 16S ribosomal RNA". It matches the Rfam family "Bacterial small subunit ribosomal RNA", at positions 28 to 507 of the family's 1533-position model. The record is from RNAcentral.